GCCCCCGUAGCUCAACAGGAUAGAGCGCAGCUUUCCUAAAGCUGAGGUUGCAGGUUCGAUUCUUGCCGGGGGUACCA
RNAcentral lists this transfer RNA (77 nucleotides) under Planctomycetota bacterium. RNAcentral's name for it is "Planctomycetes bacterium (bioreactor metagenome) tRNA-Arg". It matches the Rfam family "tRNA". Rfam says of the family: Transfer RNA (tRNA) molecules are approximately 80 nucleotides in length. Their secondary structure includes four short double-helical elements and three loops (D, anti-codon, and T loops). The record is from RNAcentral. Lineage: Bacteria; Pseudomonadati; Planctomycetota.